Cinara cedri is the source of this 304-nucleotide non-coding RNA. The record is from the annotation of a GenBank genome assembly. NCBI's taxonomy places the organism in Eukaryota, Metazoa, Arthropoda, Insecta, Hemiptera, Aphididae.
AAUCGACUCUGCAGCGACAAUAUUAUGAUGUCGCGUUUCACUGCCGGAAGAAAAAAAAAAAACCACGCAAUUUCCGUCGAAAAACAACCACAAACAGCUCGAAUAACUUACAUUCAAAACAAAAUAACCAAAUCGAGUGGGAAUUACGUAUCGGACAAUAAAACGCGCAGGUCGAUAGACCUCCUAACCCGCAUGAUGUUUUCUAUAACGACGUGUUUCCCCUCUCCCCCCUCCGCCUAGUCGAGUUAAAAGCUAUCGAAAAACGUAACGUGUGACUUUUUAACUUUUUGAGGCACGGUUACCC